RNAcentral lists this ribosomal RNA (1186 nucleotides) under Bacillus safensis. RNAcentral's name for it is "bacterial SSU rRNA". It matches the Rfam family "Bacterial small subunit ribosomal RNA", at positions 132 to 1305 of the family's 1533-position model. The record is from RNAcentral. Lineage: Bacteria; Bacillati; Bacillota; Bacilli; Caryophanales; Bacillaceae.
GUAAGACUGGGAUAACUCCGGGAAACCGGAGCUAAUACCGGAUAGUUCCUUGAACCGCAUGGUUCAAGGAUGAAAGACGGUUUCGGCUGUCACUUACAGAUGGACCCGCGGCGCAUUAGCUAGUUGGUGGGGUAAUGGCUCACCAAGGCGACGAUGCGUAGCCGACCUGAGAGGGUGAUCGGCCACACUGGGACUGAGACACGGCCCAGACUCCUACGGGAGGCAGCAGUAGGGAAUCUUCCGCAAUGGACGAAAGUCUGACGGAGCAACGCCGCGUGAGUGAUGAAGGUUUUCGGAUCGUAAAGCUCUGUUGUUAGGGAAGAACAAGUGCGAGAGUAACUGCUCGCACCUUGACGGUACCUAACCAGAAAGCCACGGCUAACUACGUGCCAGCAGCCGCGGUAAUACGUAGGUGGCAAGCGUUGUCCGGAAUUAUUGGGCGUAAAGGGCUCGCAGGCGGUUUCUUAAGUCUGAUGUGAAAGCCCCCGGCUCAACCGGGGAGGGUCAUUGGAAACUGGGAAACUUGAGUGCAGAAGAGGAGAGUGGAAUUCCACGUGUAGCGGUGAAAUGCGUAGAGAUGUGGAGGAACACCAGUGGCGAAGGCGACUCUCUGGUCUGUAACUGACGCUGAGGAGCGAAAGCGUGGGGAGCGAACAGGAUUAGAUACCCUGGUAGUCCACGCCGUAAACGAUGAGUGCUAAGUGUUAGGGGGUUUCCGCCCCUUAGUGCUGCAGCUAACGCAUUAAGCACUCCGCCUGGGGAGUACGGUCGCAAGACUGAAACUCAAAGGAAUUGACGGGGGCCCGCACAAGCGGUGGAGCAUGUGGUUUAAUUCGAAGCAACGCGAAGAACCUUACCAGGUCUUGACAUCCUCUGACAACCCUAGAGAUAGGGCUUUCCCUUCGGGGACAGAGUGACAGGUGGUGCAUGGUUGUCGUCAGCUCGUGUCGUGAGAUGUUGGGUUAAGUCCCGCAACGAGCGCAACCCUUGAUCUUAGUUGCCAGCAUUCAGUUGGGCACUCUAAGGUGACUGCCGGUGACAAACCGGAGGAAGGUGGGGAUGACGUCAAAUCAUCAUGCCCCUUAUGACCUGGGCUACACACGUGCUACAAUGGACAGAACAAAGGGCUGCAAGACCGCAAGGUUUAGCCAAUCCCAUAAAUCUGUUCUCAGUUCGGAUCGCAGUC